RNAcentral lists this ribosomal RNA (465 nucleotides) under uncultured bacterium. Its description in RNAcentral is "partial 16S ribosomal RNA". It matches the Rfam family "Bacterial small subunit ribosomal RNA", at positions 28 to 507 of the family's 1533-position model. The record is from RNAcentral.
GACGAACGCUGGCGGCGUGCUUAACACAUGCCAGUCGAACGGAAAGGCCCCUUUGGGGGUACUCGAGUGGCGCACGGGUGAGUAACACGUGAGUAACCUGCCCUUGACUUCGGGAUAACUUCAGGAAACUGGGGCUAAUACCGGAUAGGAAUCCUUGCUGCAUGGUGGGGGUUGGAAAGCUUCGGCGGUUUUGGAUGGACUCGCGGCUUAUCAGCUUGUUGGUGGGGUAGUGGCUUACCAAGGCUUUGACGGGUAGCCGGCCUGAGAGGGCGACCGGCCACAUUGGGACUGAGAUACGGCCCAGACUCCUACGGGAGGCAGCAGUGGGGAAUAUUGCACAAUGGGCGGGAGCCUGAUGCAGCAACGCCGCGUGCGGGAUGACGGCCUUCGGGUUGGAAGCCGCUUUCAGCAGGGGCGAAGCUUGUGGUGACGGUACCUGCAGAAGAAGCACCGGCUAACUACGUG